CUCAAUGUAUAAGAUACACUAAAACGAAAAACGAACUUCAGCUCCUCUCUUCUGUGAGAGUUUCUUUCUCUUCGGCUGGGGUCGGGUGAUGUGUCCUUUCUCCCUUUUCUCCUUCUUUUCUCCCUGCAUCCACUAUUGGUUCUCCCCAAUUUUCAAUUCAGCCUAUCCAAUUCCUCCAACUCCGUGGGUUUUCUUCUUCCUGGUUCUUCCUUGCUUCGUUUUUCAGCCAUGUCCUCUAUAGAGUUCGUGUGUAGAGUUCCGGCGCUUGCACCGACUCGGGUGUUUUCCAUACCAUCAUGUUCUCCUUUGUGUGGGCCGCUUGCGGAGAUGAUCGGCAGUGGUCAAAGAAUUGGCUUGCUGGCAGUUCCUUGGACCGUUGGUGAAGAAGGCAAUGGAUGCUUCUCGGAUGUUCUUUGGUUUUGAGCUUUUGGGUUCAUUCUCUGUUUCUGUUGUUUUUUCUUUCUAUUUAGGCCCUUUUUGGUUGUUUAUAGAUGUUUGUUGGGCAUUUAUCUGUUUGUAAAUUUGUGUUUUGGUUGGAAUAAAAUCUUCCCCUUGACAAAAAAAAAAAAAA
Malus domestica (apple) is the source of this 571-nucleotide non-coding RNA. The record is from RefSeq and is a predicted model, not a curated record. NCBI's taxonomy places the organism in Eukaryota, Viridiplantae, Streptophyta, Magnoliopsida, Rosales, Rosaceae.